This 60-nucleotide transfer RNA is filed under the name human gut metagenome. It matches the Rfam family "tRNA", at positions 8 to 63 of the family's 71-position model. Rfam says of the family: Transfer RNA (tRNA) molecules are approximately 80 nucleotides in length. Their secondary structure includes four short double-helical elements and three loops (D, anti-codon, and T loops). Further hydrogen bonds mediate the characteristic L-shaped molecular structure. tRNAs have two regions of fundamental functional importance: the anti-codon, which is responsible for specific mRNA codon recognition, and the 3' end, to which the tRNAs corresponding amino acid is attached (by aminoacyl-tRNA synthetases). tRNAs cope with the degeneracy of the genetic code in two manners: having more than one tRNA (with a specific anti-codon) for a particular amino acid; and 'wobble' base-pairing, i.e. permitting non-standard base-pairing at the 3rd anti-codon position. The record is from RNAcentral.
UUUAGCUCAGUUGGUAGAGCGCUCGGCUGUUAACCGAUAGGUCGUUGGUUCGAGUCCAAC